AGAUUGAACGCUGGCGGCAUGCUUUACACAUGCAAGUCGAACGGCAGCGCGGGGCAACCUGGCGGCGAGUGGCGAACGGGUGAGUAAUAUAUCGGAACGUACCCAAGAGUGGGGGAUAACGUAGCGAAAGUUACGCUAAUACCGCAUACGAUCUAAGGAUGAAAGCAGGGGACCGCAAGGCCCUGUGCUCCUGGAGCGGCCGAUAUCUGAUUAGCUAGUUGGUAGGGUAAAGGCCUACCAAGGCUACGAUCAGUAGCUGGUCUGAGAGGACGACCAGCCACACUGGAACUGAGACACGGUCCAGACUCCUACGGAGGCAGCAGUGGGGAAUUUUGGACAAUGGGCGCAAGCCUGAUCCAGCAAUGCCGCGUGAGUGAAGAAGGCCUUCGGUUGUAAAGCUCUUUGUCAGGAAGAAACGGUGGAAGCGUAAAUAUACGUCCCACUAAUGACGGUACCUCGAAGAAUAAGACACCGGCUAACGUACGUAGCCAGCAGCCGUA
RNAcentral lists this ribosomal RNA (500 nucleotides) under uncultured soil bacterium. Its description in RNAcentral is "bacterial SSU rRNA". It matches the Rfam family "Bacterial small subunit ribosomal RNA", at positions 26 to 519 of the family's 1533-position model. The record is from RNAcentral.